This is a transfer RNA of Ovis aries (sheep), 71 nucleotides long. It matches the Rfam family "tRNA". From Rfam's summary of the family: Transfer RNA (tRNA) molecules are approximately 80 nucleotides in length. Their secondary structure includes four short double-helical elements and three loops (D, anti-codon, and T loops). The record is from Rfam. Lineage: Eukaryota; Metazoa; Chordata; Mammalia; Artiodactyla; Bovidae.
CCUUAAUUACUUAGUUGGUAAAGAAUCUGCCUGCAAUGCAGGAGACCCCGGUUUGAUUCCUGGGUUGGGAA